RNAcentral lists this ribosomal RNA (253 nucleotides) under uncultured bacterium. Its description in RNAcentral is "partial 16S ribosomal RNA". It matches the Rfam family "Bacterial small subunit ribosomal RNA", at positions 524 to 776 of the family's 1533-position model. The record is from RNAcentral.
UACGUAGGUGGCAAGCGUUGUCCGGAUUUACUGGGCGUAAAGAGCGCGCAGGCGGUCGUCCAAGUCGCGUGUGAAAGCCCCCGGCUCAACUGGGGAGGGUCACGCGAUACUGGUCGACUCGAAGGCAGGAGAGGGUAGUGGAAUUCCCGGUGUAGUGGUGAAAUGCGUAGAUAUCGGGAAGAACAUCGGUGGCGAAAGCGCUCUACUGGACCGCAACUGACACUCAGGGACGAAAGCUAGGGGAGCGAAUGGG